RNAcentral lists this ribosomal RNA (396 nucleotides) under Escherichia coli. RNAcentral describes it as "partial 23S ribosomal RNA". It matches the Rfam family "Bacterial large subunit ribosomal RNA", at positions 2535 to 2925 of the family's 2925-position model. Lineage: Bacteria; Pseudomonadati; Pseudomonadota; Gammaproteobacteria; Enterobacterales; Enterobacteriaceae. The record is from RNAcentral.
GCUCAUCACAUCCUGGGGCUGAAGUAGGUCCCAAGGGUAUGGCUGUUCGCCAUUUAAAGUGGUACGCGAGCUGGGUUUAGAACGUCGUGAGACAGUUCGGUCCCUAUCUGCCGUGGGCGCUGGAGAACUGAGGGGGGCUGCUCCUAGUACGAGAGGACCGGAGUGGACGCAUCACUGGUGUUCGGGUUGUCAUGCCAAUGGCACUGCCCGGUAGCUAAAUGCGGAAGAGAUAAGUGCUGAAAGCAUCUAAGCACGAAACUUGCCCCGAGAUGAGUUCUCCCUGACUCCUUGAGAGUCCUGAAGGAACGUUGAAGACGACGACGUUGAUAGGCCGGGUGUGUAAGCGCAGCGAUGCGUUGAGCUAACCGGUACUAAUGAACCGUGAGGCUUAACCUU